UUCUGCACACAUCAAAAAAUUGAAACUGGAGGCUUCUCUUGCUCAGAGAUUUUUGACAUUUCAUCUUAAUGUUACCAUUUUUAGGAAGAUGGAAGUGAGAUGGAUGUUGAUACUGCGGCUCCAGUAGCUCAAGUUUCAAUCAAGCAUGGUCUCCCAGAGAUUGAAAUAUACUUCUACUUGCUUGUGUUCAUUUUCCUUAUUGAUCACAAGAAGUACGAUGAGGCUAAAGCAUGUGCCAACGCUAGCAUUGCUCGUCUGAAGAAUCUCAAUAGGAGGACUGUUGAUGUUUUGGCUUCUAGGCUAUACUCCUAUUACUCAUGCACAUGAACUCACCAACAGCCUUGCUGAAAUUUGUGGGUGAGUUCUUCCAACAGUAUGCUCUUGUGUCUCAGAGUAAUCAGAUGACAACUUUGCACCGUGAUGAGCUUGGCCAGGUUGUUCUGAGACACUAGUCUUCAAUUUCAGACUUGCAACUUAAAUAUUGUCAAGUCAGAAAAACUUAGGUCAAAGGCACCACGUUUUGAAGCACAUUCCAAUCAGCAAGUAACUAUCAUUCAUCAAGUAGUUUAUUUCUCUCCUGUAUGUAUGCCAAGUUGUUACAGUUGAAUUAGAAUUGCAAUGUGCUUUUAUUGUUUGUGCCGAGGCUGGUUAUCGAUUUAAUGAUGAAUGGCCUAUGAAAUUGUCAUUUGCUUUUGUAGAGAUCUUAUUGUAGACCAGUACUAACCUCUCUACUUCUACCACAGUUCUGCCGGUGCCGGUAUCUGUUCUACUUGGGCAAAAUUAGAACAAUUCAGCUGGAAUACACUGAUGCUAAAGAGAGCCUCUUGCAAGAUGCACGCAAAGC
Long non-coding RNA from Lolium rigidum, 844 nucleotides. RefSeq lists it as uncharacterized. The transcript has 3 exons. NCBI's taxonomy places the organism in Eukaryota, Viridiplantae, Streptophyta, Magnoliopsida, Poales, Poaceae. The record is from RefSeq and is a predicted model, not a curated record.